Molecule: transfer RNA, 64 nt
Filed under: human gut metagenome
Rfam family: tRNA
About the family: Transfer RNA (tRNA) molecules are approximately 80 nucleotides in length. Their secondary structure includes four short double-helical elements and three loops (D, anti-codon, and T loops).
Source: RNAcentral
UCUAUAGCUCAGUUGGUAGAGCACCGCCUUGGUAAGGCGGAGGUCGUGAGUUCAAUUCUCAUUG